This 322-nucleotide ribosomal RNA is filed under the name uncultured Pseudomonadota bacterium. RNAcentral describes it as "bacterial SSU rRNA". It matches the Rfam family "Bacterial small subunit ribosomal RNA", at positions 30 to 351 of the family's 1533-position model. Lineage: Bacteria; Pseudomonadati; Pseudomonadota. The record is from RNAcentral.
AUUGAACGCUGGCGGCAUGCCUUACACAUGCAAGUCGAACGGCAGCACGGGUACUUGUACCUGGUGGCGAGUGGCGAACGGGUGAGUAAUACAUCGGAACGUACCUUAUCGUGGGGGAUAACGCAGCGAAAGCUGUGCUAAUACCGCAUACGCCCUGAGGGGGAAAGCGGGGGAUCGAAAGACCUCGCGCGAAUGGAGCGGCCGAUGUCAGAUUAGGUAGUUGGUGGGGUAAAGGCUCACCAAGCCAACGAUCUGUAGCUGGUCUGAGAGGACGACCAGCCACACUGGAACUGAGACACGGUCCAGACUCCUACGGUGGCUG